RNAcentral lists this ribosomal RNA (138 nucleotides) under Slackia isoflavoniconvertens. RNAcentral describes it as "partial 16S ribosomal RNA". It matches the Rfam family "Bacterial small subunit ribosomal RNA", at positions 1 to 137 of the family's 1533-position model. The record is from RNAcentral. RNAcentral also lists the same sequence under 1 other name. Lineage: Bacteria; Bacillati; Actinomycetota; Coriobacteriia; Eggerthellales; Eggerthellaceae.
UCCACGGAGAGUUUGAUCCUGGCUCAGGAUGAACGCUGGCGGCGCGCCUAACACAUGCAAGUCGAACGAGUAAGACGCCUUCGGGCGUGGAUAGAGUGGCGAACGGGUGAGUAACACGUGACCAACCUGCCCCCUCCU